This 263-nucleotide unclassified non-coding RNA is filed under the name plant metagenome. Its description in RNAcentral is "partial contains small subunit ribosomal RNA, internal transcribed spacer 1, and 5.8S ribosomal RNA". The record is from RNAcentral.
UUUCCGUAGGUGAACCUGCGGAAGGAUCAUUAUUGUAAAACCGAGGUGCGAGGGCUGUCGCUGACCCGAAAGGUCGUGCACGCCCGAGUGCCCUCGCACACAUCCAUCUCACCCCUAUGUGCACCACCGCGUGGGUCCCCCUUUGGCUUGUUCGGAGGGGGGCUUACGUUUUCACACAAACUUUGUAUGCAGUGUAGAAUGUAUUUUUUGUUUUUGCGAUCACGCAAUCAAUACAACUUUCAACAACGGAUCUCUUGGCUCUC